This is a non-coding RNA of Triticum aestivum (bread wheat), 135 nucleotides long. The record is from Rfam. Lineage: Eukaryota; Viridiplantae; Streptophyta; Magnoliopsida; Poales; Poaceae.
UUACUACUCCCUCCGUCCGGAAAUACUUUGUCAUCAAAAUGAAUAAAAGGAGAUGUAUCUAGACGUAUUUUAGUUUUAGAUAUAUUUUUUUUGUCCAUUUUGAUGACAAGUAUUUUCAGACGGAGGGAGUAUGUU